UGAAGAACGACAGCAAAUAACAGAGGCACAUUUGAUUGCAAGGUCUAAAAACAUAUCUUUCACUUCAUCAUCUAGGGCAUAUGUAAGAGAUUUCCCAUCAAUGAUCAAAGCAAAUGCCUCUGUGCUUGAAGCAGUAAGUAGAGCCUUUCCUUCAGUAAUUUGCUGUGUAACACUUCCCUUUGAAGCCCUGGCAAUGGCAUUCUUUUCUCCGGAUUUCUCUACA
RNAcentral lists this unclassified non-coding RNA (223 nucleotides) under Hevea brasiliensis (rubber tree). Lineage: Eukaryota; Viridiplantae; Streptophyta; Magnoliopsida; Malpighiales; Euphorbiaceae. The record is from RNAcentral.